This 241-nucleotide long non-coding RNA is filed under the name Capsicum annuum. RNAcentral's name for it is "long non-coding RNA (CANN_LNC020875)". The record is from RNAcentral. Lineage: Eukaryota; Viridiplantae; Streptophyta; Magnoliopsida; Solanales; Solanaceae.
GAAGAUCUCACUCCUUACAUGGACAAAUCCGAUAUGAUGGACAUGUAUAGAAGUGAGAAAGAAAAAUCGCCCUAAGUAUGGACAUGCCAUAAGGUGCAAACUUCCUCAAUCAAGGAAACAACUCAAAUCAUUGAUUGGGAAGAAAUCUUUUGGAUUUCCUUCCGAAGAAAAGAAGUAUAUGCAGCAGAAGACUAUAAAGGCUAAAACAGAAGAAAGAAGGCACAACUCAACUUCAAGGAGA